CGAACCGAACCGAAGUAAAUAUGGAUUUAGAAUGGUAGUUAUAUUUUACUAACCGAAAUACCGAAAACCGAAAAAAAACCGAACCGAAACCGAACCGAUAUCCGGAAAGUCUAACUAUUACAAACAAAGCUUUAUUAAUUAUUAUAAAGCUUAUGUUUUCUAGCUAGCGAUGUUAUUAAAGGAUCUUGACAAAACAAGGUGGACAAUGUCACAUGGUGCAAUAUCGCCUUUGCCGCCAACCAACCAGAUUUCACGAGAAGAGUAUCUUUAAAACUUGGAGCUGGUUUAUACUCGAGUCUUCCACUUCUUUCAGAGUGCUGUCUUUUAGUACGAUAAAGGAUUACACUAUCUUGUAAUCUAUUAUAUCACAUUCCAUAUAUAUUCCUAUUAAUGUUAGAUUCAACACCAUUCUAUAAAUACCUUACUUUAGGAAUGAACACAAUCAAGUUUUGUUAAUUAUUUUAUGCGUACUGAAGAAAAUUAGAAACUUUCGCUUAUGUCAAAUAAUUUUGUAAAAGAUUUAUAGAGCAUAGUUUUAUAUAUCGUUUAUAAACAAACGUGUUUGGUUGUUUCAUAACUAAAUAGAUAGAAUUUAAAUGCUACUAGCAAUAUAAUGUCACGUAUUAUCUAUAACCUUUUUUUGAGAGAAGGCUUACGUAUUUUUUGUAACAACUUAGAUAUUAAUCAAGACUGGUUAAUUACAAUUACAUCCUAGCUUUAUUUUUUUUUGUAUUUAUCCACAUGCUCACCUUCUUUUCUUUUACCAUACUAAUUCUUUUUUUUUUUAUCGUUAAUAUGUUUUUCUUAUCUCUUACUAUUUAUUUCUUUUGUUUAGUAGUGCUUAGUUUACAAUUUAAAAAUAAAUGAUGUAUAUGAAAGAUCAAAUUUUGUAUGUUGCAGUUUUAUAUUUUUAAACUAAACAUAACAAUAUAUUAAAACUGGUUAUUUUAUAAAACUUUAUUUCUAAUUUUUUCUUACUUUCUAUAUUAAUUGAAUGUUCAAUAAUUUUAUUAAAUAAAAUAUUUUAUUUGGCUUAGGGCAUCUUCAUCCUCACUUUAUAAUUUACUCCAAAUAUAGAAUGGAAAAUGAAGUAUGAACAAAUCAUAAAAAAUCACUCCAUUUAUGAUGUAAUCAUUUUUUUUGUUUCUUCAUUAUUCUAUUUCCCACUCUAUUUUACAGUAAAUUAUGGAGUGGGUAUGGAGAUGGUCUCGGGGCAUCAAAAAUCCAUAGCACAGCUAUUUACAACUGUGAUACACUGUGCUUUUACCAUUUUCUAAUCUUUUUUUUUGAAUUUUUCUAUAAAGUGUAUUUUUAGUGUCUCUUAAUUUUUUAUUGAGUCUUUUCAGAUUUUAUAUCAAUUUACAACGAAAAUAGAAUUUAGGUGAAAAAAAUAAUUUAAAAUAUAUAAUCGUGUAAUCAAAAGUUUAGCAAUUAAUGAAAUACUUUGCACCGAUGGAUUGGGCUCAUUUUCAGAUAGAAGAUAAGAAUUGCGUUAUCUUUCCAAUUAAAAGUUACACAUAUUUUACUAUUCACUGUAUUGAAAUCUACAAUUCUUUUUUUUUUGCUAUUUUAUUUGGCGAAUACAAAAUAGAAAUAUGAUUUUACAUUAAAAACAUAUUGUUGUUGCAUUAUUACUAUGAAUUAGUGAGUUUAUAUUUUUCCAUGUCUCUUUCUUUGUUUCAUGCUUCUUAAUUCUUCCAUUUCUCCACCUACUGAUCUUUCCACUUUUUUUUUCUUUUCUUCGUCUCCUUCACCUCCUCCUCUCAGUUUUCUCUUUUUACUCUUUUUUAUUAUUUUUCGAAAUUAGUAGAAAAAUUAUGUCUGGUACUAUUAUUGAUAUAAGUAAAUUAUUCUAUAUUAUUUGUGUAAUGCAUAUAAUAUAUUAUAAUUUUUCUGUUUUACAUCCCGUCAAUAAAACACACGCUCGAACAAAGAGAAUUGGUCUACUUUCGUCUGCAUUGUCCGAAAUACCUCUCAGAGAACCAAAUUAUUACAUGAUUUUUUCACCAAUUUUUUCUCUUGGUAUGUGUAUCACACCAACUCAUUCUUAUUAAUGUUAAUCCCACUAAAUUAGUGAUAAAAUAUCAUUAUAUCACCAACAAUCCGGGGUCUCCCAUUAAAAAGGGUGCAUUGAUUUUGUAAUGUAAAAUCUUCCAAGAGUUAACAUAUGCCAUCUGGGCAUUUUAGUCAAAACAAAAAAAUAAGUAAUUAAGGAAAGAGAAAUAUAACAAUAUUAUCAUGUUCCAUUGCGCAAGACAACAUAUGCAUAUCUUGCUCUGCCCUAAAAUUUUAAAGAACAGAAGCAAUCCAAAUAAAAUUGGCCUUUUUAAAAUAUUUUUCAUUAAAAAUAGCUAUUUUGUAUAUAUUAGCAACUUUUUCUUACAAAAUGCCAAUUUAUUCAACUUUUUUUGGGAGGGAGGUGGAAGAUGCUUUGAUAUGCAUCCCAUCAAGACCGGCUUCAUAAGGAAACUUCUCCGUCUUUAUACAAUUAGCUCUUCAGAGGACCUUUCUUCACACAAGAUAGUCUGAGCACUCAAGAAAAUGGGCCAUUUCGAACCAGUAAAUCCAUAUUAUGUUUUUCUUUUCCUGUGUUUGGUUCUAGACAGCUUAGUGCUAUUCUGUCAUGGUGGCACAACAAGUAGUUACGUCAGGAGGUUAGAGGCAACGGUUGAUAUGCCACUCAAUAGUGAUGUAUUUCGUGUUCCUCUUGGUUGAAAUGCACCUCAACAGAUGCACAUUACACAAGGAGACCUUGAAAGAAAGGCAGUGAUAGUUUCUUGGGUGACGCAAAAAGCACGAGGAUCUAACACGGUUCUUUACUGGAAAGAUCAUAGCUGCAAAAUGCUAAAAGCCCAUGGCAAAUCCAAGACGUACAAGUUCUACAACUAUACGUCUAAUCACAUCCAUCAUUGCACCCUCAGAAAUUUAGAGGUCCAUCAUCAUCAUUUCACAAUCUUUUCUUUUGUCGUGUAUCUGACUUUGUAGUUCUCUUCUUGCAGUAUGACACCAAGUACGACUAUAUGGUAGGUGUGAGACAAACAGAACGCAAGUUCUGGUUCUUCACUCCUCCUAAACCUGGUCCUGAUGUUCCCUGCAUGUUUGGUCUUAUUGGUAAUUGUGUCUUGAAAACAAAUUAAUGGUUUUAAAGAGAGAGGGAGUUAUUAGCUUCCCAUGGACUUGAACUUGAGUUGUAAUACGUUUUCAGGACACAAUUACCAAUAAGAGCAAACGUGUAGGGAACGCCAGGACCAGGUUUAGGAGGAGUGAGGAACCGUAACUUGGUUCAGUUUGUCCCACACCUACCAUAUAGUAAUAGUAGUACUUGGUGUCAUACUACAAGAAGAGAACCAAAAAGUCAGAUACACUACGAUAGAAAAGAUUGUGAUAAUGAUGCUGAUGGACCUCUUAAGUUUUUUUUUUUUUUUUUUUUUUUUUUUUUGAUGGACCUCUAAGUUUCUGAUGGUGCAAUGAUGGAUAUGACCAGACGUAUAGUUGUAGAACUUGUAUGUCUUGGAUUUGCCAUGGGAUUUUAGCAUUUUGCUGCUAUGCUCUUUCCAGUAAAGAACCGUGUUAGAUCCUCGUGCUUUUUGCGUCACCUAAGAAACUAUCACUGCCUUUCUUUCAAGGUCUCCUUGUGUAAUGUGCAGCCUUUUGUGGAAAACCCAGAUAAAAAACCUUAAUUUAGGACCGAUCAUGGGUUCUCCAAAAAAACAUUGGCUUUGAGAUUUCAAAUUUUUUAAAUAUAAUAGAGUAUUUGCAUUGUAUACACAAACAAUUUUGACUAAUUAAGGAUCUACCAUUUGACACUAUUAACGUACUGUACUUAAAAAUUAAUGACUCUAAUACCCUUCCACAAUCAUCAUCUUCUUCGUCACUUCUAAAUCCUCCCCUCCACAGCCGAGCGUCUCCACCAAUCGAUCCGCCUCCUCAACGCCCGGCUCCUGCCACCCCGAGCUCCUCUCUUAGCUCUCUUCCCUCUCCGACGCGGAGAUAUCCCUCCUCCGCCGCACUCGCCUCCGGAUCCCCCACCUCCACCGCCAAGCGUCUCCACCAAGUGAUCCGCCUCCUCGACGCCCAGCUCCGCCACGACAUCAUCUCCCGCCACGACAUCUUCUCCCGCCACCCAGAGCUCCUCUCCGAGCUCUCUUCCCUCUCCGACGUGUCUGGCGCGUUUCCAUCCUCCGGCGCGUUCUCGUCCUCCUCCCGAUCCACCGCCGCGUUGGUCCCUCUCAUGCCGCUUGAAGCUCUCUUUCCGCCGGAACCGCCAGAACCACUGGAUCGUCGGGUUCUCCCUCGUGACGAUCCCUUCUCCCUCGUCUUCCUCCUCUGCCUCCUCUGCCUCCUUGCCUCAUGGCUGUUCCUCUACCUGUUCUGCCCCUCUGUUCAGCCGAUCGUCAUCGUCAGUCGCGCAUUCUCCGAUAGCGAGACGUUUGGGUGUUUGAUCUUGUUUGGGUAGAGAAUAUCGAUCAAAGAUCAAAGAAGGGCUUUUACGUAACUAGAUAUAUACAGUAUCUACCCUGACACACUAAGUUUUACUGUAUAUGGUAUUUUGCUAAUAUCGUGUUCUUCUUUGGGUUUCUACCAAAUUGAACUCAAUAUAAUAUACAUAAACAUAGACCUCUAAAUUGUUAAAAAAAAUUAUUAAAUUUUUCACUAUAUAGCGUCCCCAUCAUCUUAUGUCGACCCUGAUAUUAAUUUAGACCAAUUGCUUAACAAAUACUAGAGUUUGACUCGCGCACCCGCGCGGAUAUUUGUUUAUUUUUUAAAAAUAUAUAUUUAUCUUAUAUAAACGUAAGUAUAUUUUUUUAUUGUAGCAAUAAAUGUAUAUUUUGAAAUUUACCUGUAUUAAAUAAUUUUUAGCAUUUUAAACAAAAUAAUUUUAUAAUUAAUAAUAAAUAAUUUUAUUUUAUCUUUUGACCUGUCAAUUGUAUCAUCUAUAUUUUUAAAAUAUGUGCGAAUGUAUUUUUUAUGGAUAAAAAUUUUAAUGUAAAAUAAAGUUGUAAUCUAUAAUUAUAUUUUAUUUAUACGAUUCAAAAUUCAAUAUAUCAUUUACAUUUUGUGUUUUAUAUUAUGUAUUUUAUAUCAUUUUCUUAUGUUUUUUCGACAUAGUUAAUUAUACCAAAAUUAAAAAUAACCAACCCAUAAUAAUGGACAUUUUUUUGCAUUGAUUAAAUAUAAUUUAAUGUUUAGCUAGAUUAUAGGAAGUAUUUUUGAUAUAAAUGACACUUCAUUUAUUGUACUUCCAUUUAGGAAAAAUGCAUUAAUAAAACAGAAAAAGACAAGCACUAAAAUAGGCAAUUUAAUAAUUAGUUAGUGGUAUGGAAAUGUAAAUAAGUUUGAAAAUUAAGGGGUAAUUUUAAAUGAUACUUCUCUUUUAAUAAUAGAGAUGAGAAGCAAAGGUUAAAUCAUUCAAGAACAUCCACUAAAUAGUUUGUUCUACACUAAAACAAGUAUAAAAAAAAGAAGACAAAAGUGAUACCAUAACAAAACUCAUAAGACUGUUGAUUAUUUAAAGGAAGAAAUGUAUACGUACCUGUUGAGGUGCAUUGCAACCAGGAGGAACACGAAAUACAUCACUAUCGAGUGGCAUAUCAGCUGUUGCCUCUAACCUCCUGGCAAACCUACUUGUGGUACCACCAUGACAGAACAACAAGAAGCUGUUCAGAACAAAACUAAGAUAAAGGACAUUUUAGAGGGUGGCACCACAAUUAGGUUUGUUAGAAGCAAAGAGCUAUUCUUAUAAAAGAUAUUUUAGCAAUUUCUAUAUAAAAGACAUCUUUAUUAUUUUUUAUUUGUGGAGGGUGGUGGAAGAUGCUUGAUAUGCUUCCCAUCAGGCAAGGCUUCAUAAGGAAACUUCUCCGUCUUUAGACCAUCUCCAAUGGCUUACUCUAUUUUUUACUCUAAAAUAGAGUAACUCUAUAAUAGAGUUUGAAUUUGCUCCAAUGGUACUCUAUUUUAGAGUAGAAAAUAGAGUGAUGAACAAAAAAAAAACAAGUUACUCUAUAUUUGGAGUAAACCUAUUUUUCACUCUAUUAUAGAGUGAGAAAUAUAGUACUAUUGGAGCAUUUUUAUUCUAAACUCUAUUUUAGAGUGAAAAAAAUAGAGUGGAGUUGGAGAUGCCCUUAUAAGAAUAGCUCUUUUCACACAAGCCAGUCUCAGCACUGAAGAAGAAAACAAAAAAAAAAACCCUAUGAAAAUGGGUCGUUUCUAAGGAUUUUAUCUUAGUGUUGUUCUGAACAGGUUCUUGUUGUUCUUCAUGAUGCCACUCAAUGCACCUCAUGGAUUUUAUCUUAGUGUUGUUCUGAACAGGUUCUUUUAUAUAGAAAUUGCUAAAAUAUCUUUUAUUUUAAUUACAGAAUUAAUAUUAAUGAAAAUUAUUUUUAAAAGGACAUUUUUAGUUAUAACAGGUUUAACGGGGAGAUUUAAUAGGAGUAUUAGAUAUUAUAAAAAUUAAAAUAAGAGUAUUAGCUAUUAAAAAAUAAAAUAAUAAAAAGACAUGUGAGAUUGUAAGAAAAGUGGCGCACCUUUCGGAUACGGAUUAUAUACCUGUCACCAAGCUGUUGGUUUAAAUUUGUAAAAAAAAAUGAAAAUCAUUUUAUCAUUUAAAACUAUUUCUUUUUUUUUUCUUAGAAACUUUAAGGGAAAUUUGAUUAUAUAACCACCAAAAAAAUUAUAAUUCAAAAUCUAACUAUUUUACCUAUAAAGUUA
RNA transcript from Brassica rapa (field mustard), 6708 nucleotides. RefSeq lists it as uncharacterized. The record is from RefSeq and is a predicted model, not a curated record. Lineage: Eukaryota; Viridiplantae; Streptophyta; Magnoliopsida; Brassicales; Brassicaceae.